GGAGAGGUGCCGGAGCGGUUGAACGGGGCGGUCUCGAAAACCGUUGACCCUUCGCGGGGUCCCAGGGUUCGAAUCCCUGCCUCUCCGCCA
Molecule: transfer RNA, 90 nt
Filed under: Candidatus Zixiibacteriota bacterium
Lineage: Bacteria; Pseudomonadati; Candidatus Zixiibacteriota
Description: tRNA-Ser
Rfam family: tRNA
About the family: Transfer RNA (tRNA) molecules are approximately 80 nucleotides in length.
Source: RNAcentral